This 374-nucleotide ribosomal RNA is filed under the name uncultured rumen bacterium. RNAcentral describes it as "bacterial SSU rRNA". It matches the Rfam family "Bacterial small subunit ribosomal RNA", at positions 19 to 363 of the family's 1533-position model. The record is from RNAcentral.
UUGGCUCAGGAUGAACGCUGGCGGCGUGCCUAACACAUGCAAGUCGAACGGAGUAUAUGCGCUGAUGAUCGAAGUGCUUGCAUAGAGAGAAUCUUGCAUAUACUUAGUGGCGGACGGGUGAGUAACGUGUGGAUAACCUGGUCCAUCCAGGGGGAUAGCAGCUGGAAACGGCUGGUAAUACCGCAUAAGCGCACAGCAGGGCAUCCUGCGGUGUGAAAAGAUUUAUCGGGAUGGAAUGGAUCCGCAUCUGAUUAGCCAGUCGGCGGGGUAACGGCCCACCGAAGCGACGAUCAGUAGCCGGCCUGAGAGGGCGGACGGCCACAUUGGGACUGAGACACGGCCCAGACUCCUACGGGAGGCAGCAGUGGGGAAUA